Non-coding RNA from Salvia hispanica, 1049 nucleotides. The record is from RefSeq and is a predicted model, not a curated record. NCBI's taxonomy places the organism in Eukaryota, Viridiplantae, Streptophyta, Magnoliopsida, Lamiales, Lamiaceae.
CAAUAAAAGAUAAUAAACUAUUUAGCUUCAAAGAAAUAACAAUAGCGGAUGAUAUGCUCUUAGGAUAUGCAUCCUAUUUUCCUUCUCUCUUUCAUAAACUCAUUCACUUUAAUUAAACCCGUAGAUUUAAUUAUUGGUAUUAAUUAAUCGAGAGAUUAAUUAAUUUAAUAAACUUGAGGAUUUACAUACAAACCCACUUACUCAAAAUUAAUUCAAGAGAAUUUUAUCUCGAGCGAUUAAUUCAAUCAUAAAUAAUGAAUUCCAAAUAAGGACUAAUUAAUUUUAGUCUAACACUCAUUUGAUAUUUGAAAGGCCCAAAAGUCAAGGGAGCAAAAUCAUUAUUUCAAUUACCUACUGAGUCAAACUAGCUGCUAUACGUAACUUCUUUCUUAUCAUCAUUUAUCUCUAUUCUCUUCCUAACUCUCUCUCUCUCUUUCUUUUUCUUUUCUAAAUUUUCGCCACACAAGGUGCAGCCUCGAGUUUCUUCACGAUCGGGAAUUCAAACAACAUCCGAUUGUCACGAAAUUUUAACCAAAGAAAUAAUUUCGGAAGUGGCUGUCGGUUUCUACAGUAGCAGCGUCGAUUUUCUAUACGAUCGGGGGUUCAAACGUAGUCCGAUCGUUCUGAAAUUUUAAAGGAAGGUAAACAACUUAUCUAACUUCAUUAUGACCAAAGGAAAUUUCAUUUGGACGGUUAGAUUUUCUAUUAUAAAUUUCCGAAGUGGCUGCUAAAACAAGAGGCUUAUUUUGAAACAUGUUAGGAGAUUUUCUAGUUUCUUGAAUAAAAACAAAUAUGACGUAUUUGGUAAAAGGAGAGCAUGCUUGGUUGUGAUUCUAUGUUCUAUAUGAAUUCAUGCUAACAUGACGUGCUUGAUAAAACUUGAAAAGAGUUAACUUGCGGUUUGAAAAUCAUUACCUCAAAAGAACGAUAAAAGGUUUAUUUAGAAGUGCUUCUGCUUGAAAUUCUCCUUCUUGAAAAAUGCUUGCUUGAAACUUGCUAGGAAAGAUGGAAAACUUUUCUGUCUGCUUGCUUAAAAUUUUGGGUGAAAA